This 445-nucleotide ribosomal RNA is filed under the name uncultured bacterium. RNAcentral describes it as "partial 16S ribosomal RNA". It matches the Rfam family "Bacterial small subunit ribosomal RNA", at positions 338 to 795 of the family's 1533-position model. The record is from RNAcentral.
CCUACGGGAGGCUGCAGUGGGGAAUAUUGGGCAAUGGAGGCAACUCUUACCCAGCAAUGCCGCGUGAAUGAAGAAGGUCUUCGGAUUGUAAAGUUCUUUAAUUGGGGACGAAAAAAAAUGACGGUACCCAAGGAAUAAGCCCCGGCUAACUACGUGCCAGCAGCCGCGGUAAUACUUAGGGGGCCAGCGUUGUUCGGAAUGACUGUGCGUAAAGGGUGGGUAGGCGGUGUAGCAAGUGAGAAGUGCAAUACCUAGGGCUUAACUCAGGUGCUGCUUCGAAAACUGCUAUACUUGAGUGCAGUAGAGGAAAGUGGAAUUCCUAGUGUAGCGGUGGAAUGCGUAGAUAUUAGGAGGAACAUCAGUGGCGAAGGCGACUUUCUGGACUGUAACUGACGCUGAGGCACGAAAGUGUGGGGAGCAAACAGGAUUAGAUACCCUAGUAGUC